CUUAUCAAGAGUGGCGGAGGGACCGGCCCUGUGAAGCCCGGCAACCUGCAUUGCAAGGUGCCAAAUCCGGCGGUGUGAAUCGAAAGAUGAGG
This 92-nucleotide non-coding RNA is filed under the name bovine gut metagenome. RNAcentral's name for it is "SAM riboswitch (S box leader)". It matches the Rfam family "SAM riboswitch aptamer (S box leader)". From Rfam's summary of the family: The SAM riboswitch is found upstream of a number of genes which code for proteins involved in methionine or cysteine biosynthesis in Gram-positive bacteria. The SAM riboswitch acts at the level of transcription termination control. The record is from RNAcentral.